GGAAGUAAAAGUCGCAACAAGGUUUCCGUAGGUGAACCUGCGGAAGGAUCAUUAUUGGAUUUUGAAACUUCAGGCUGCUGCUGGCUCUCCUCGGAGGGCAUGUGCACGCUUGUUGUCCAUUAUUUCUCCCACUGUGCACAAAUUGUAGACCUUUCAGUAGGCCUAUGUUGUUUUUCACAAUCUCUGAAUGUAAUAGAAUGGUUUUGAAUCUUGGGAAAUACAAUACAACUUUCAGCAACGGAUCUCUUGGCUCUC
RNAcentral lists this unclassified non-coding RNA (255 nucleotides) under plant metagenome. RNAcentral describes it as "partial contains small subunit ribosomal RNA, internal transcribed spacer 1, and 5.8S ribosomal RNA". The stretch from base 1 to 54 matches the Rfam family "Eukaryotic small subunit ribosomal RNA", at positions 1778 to 1831 of the family's 1831-position model. The record is from RNAcentral.